Molecule: ribosomal RNA, 253 nt
Filed under: uncultured bacterium
Lineage: Bacteria
Description: partial 16S ribosomal RNA
Rfam family: Bacterial small subunit ribosomal RNA
Source: RNAcentral
UACGGAGGGGGCUAGCGUUGUUCGGAAUUACUGGGCGUAAAGCGCGCGUAGGCGGACCUGCAAGUCGGGGGUGAAAGCCCGAGGCUCAACCCCGGAACUGCCUUCGAUACUGCGGGUCUCGAGUCCGGGAGAGGUGAGUGGAAUUCCUAGUGUAGAGGUGAAAUUCGUAGAUAUUCGCAAGAACACCAGUGGCGAAGGCGGCUCACUGGCCCGGUACUGACGCUGAGGUGCGAAAGCGUGGGGAGCAAACAGG